Molecule: ribosomal RNA, 253 nt
Filed under: uncultured prokaryote
Description: partial 16S ribosomal RNA
Rfam family: Bacterial small subunit ribosomal RNA
Source: RNAcentral
UACGAGGGGUGCAAGCGUUGCUCGGAAUUAUUGGGCGUAAAGGGCAGGUAGGUGGUCUCAUUUGUCUGGGGUGAAAGCCUUGGGCUUAACCCAAGAAGUGCCCCAGAAACGGUGAGACUAGAGUCUUGGAGAGGUUAGCGGAAUACCCGGUGUAGCGGUGAAGUGCGUAGAGAUCGGGUGGAACACCAGCGGCGAAGGCGGCUAACUGGACAAGUACUGACACUCCACUGCGAAAGCGUGGGGAGCAAACAGG